UACGGGGGGGGCAAGCGUUGUUCGGAAUUACUGGGCGUAAAGGGCUCGUAGGCGGCCAACUAAGUCAUACGUGAAAUCCCUCAGCUUAACUGGGGAACUGCGUGUGAUACUGGAUGGCUUGGAUUUGGGAGAGGGAUGCGGAAUUCCAGGUGUAGCGGUGAAAUGCGUAGAUAUCUGGAGGAACACCGGUGGCGAAGGCGGAUCUCUGGGCCUUACCUGACGCUCAGGUGCGAAAGCUAGGGGAGCGAACAGG
RNAcentral lists this ribosomal RNA (253 nucleotides) under uncultured bacterium. Its description in RNAcentral is "partial 16S ribosomal RNA". It matches the Rfam family "Bacterial small subunit ribosomal RNA", at positions 524 to 776 of the family's 1533-position model. The record is from RNAcentral.